UGACCAAGGGGCCGGGUUGUGCUGAUCAAUCGCGAUCGGCGUGACCUACGGUUACAGGGAGUACCUGCGAAAGGGCCGGGUCAGGCGAAAG
Molecule: non-coding RNA, 91 nt
Organism: Spinacia oleracea (spinach)
Lineage: Eukaryota; Viridiplantae; Streptophyta; Magnoliopsida; Caryophyllales; Amaranthaceae
Source: Rfam